GACGAACGCUGGCGGCGUGCUUAACACAUGCAAGUCGAACGGAAAGGCCCUGCUUGCCGGGUACUCGAGUGGCGAACGGGUGAGUAACACGUGGGUGAUCUGCCCUGCACUUCGGGAUAAGCCUGGGAAACUGGGUCUAAUACCGGAUAGGAGCCAUUUUUAGUGUGAUGGUUGGAAAGUUUUUUCGGUGUAGGAUGAGCUCGCGGCCUAUCAGCUUGUUGGUGGGGUAAUGGCCUACCAAGGCGGCGACGGGUAGCCGGCCUGAGGGGGUGGACGGCCACAUUGGGACUGAGAUACGGCCCAGACUCCGACGGGAGGCAGCAGUGGGGAAGAUUGAACAAUGGGCGCAAGCCUGAUGCAGCGACGCCGCGUGGGGGAUGACGGCCUUCGGGUUGUAAACUCCUUUCGCUAGGGACGAAGCUUUUUGUGACGGUACCUAGAGAAGAAGCACCGGCUAACUACGUG
RNAcentral lists this ribosomal RNA (465 nucleotides) under uncultured bacterium. RNAcentral describes it as "partial 16S ribosomal RNA". It matches the Rfam family "Bacterial small subunit ribosomal RNA", at positions 28 to 507 of the family's 1533-position model. The record is from RNAcentral.